RNAcentral lists this long non-coding RNA (452 nucleotides) under Mytilus galloprovincialis (Mediterranean mussel). Lineage: Eukaryota; Metazoa; Mollusca; Bivalvia; Mytilida; Mytilidae. The record is from RNAcentral.
AAUUCGACUGAAACGUUGUUUUUAAGCAAGUGCGACAUUCUUGUAAGACUCCGCAAAAUCGACGGUGCUUUUUAACUACUUAUCGAAAAUUAAUGUAUUUUAGUUUUUUAAAAAUUUAAGAAAAAUAACAUUUUAAAAAAUCAUAAAAUUCUACCAUUAUAAGAGCAGUGAUAAGCAAACAAUUGACGUAAAUUUGAGUUGAGUUCGUUUUUACGUCAAAAAAUGGCGGUGCGACAAACUUGUAAGCCCUUGAAAAAUCGCUCACAAAUAACCAUAUAUCAUUUUUCAGGAUAUUUGUCUUUAAAUUCAUAAAAUUAAGCAAAUUAACAUUGAUUUAGUAAAUACAAAUACUAAACUUUUUUCAUUAGAUAAAUGUUUUUUGAUUCUCAAAUCUGGAAUCCCAAUUUUUUUUUUCCCCGCGGGACAGAUUUGCCCUUGUAGUAUGGAACGCG